RNAcentral lists this ribosomal RNA (428 nucleotides) under uncultured bacterium. Its description in RNAcentral is "bacterial SSU rRNA". It matches the Rfam family "Bacterial small subunit ribosomal RNA", at positions 958 to 1392 of the family's 1533-position model. The record is from RNAcentral.
AACGCGAAGAACCUUACCAAGGCUUGACAUGCAGAUGAAUACUAAAGAAAUUUAGUAGGCCUUCGGGACAUCUGUGCAGGUGAUGCAUGGUUGUCGUCAGCUCGUGUCGUGAGAUGUUAGGUUAAGUCCUGCAACGAGCGCAACCCACGUGUUUAGUUGCUACGCAAGUAGAAUUCUAAACAGACUGCCGUAGUUAAUACGGAGGAAGGUGUGGAUGACGUCAAAUCAUCACGUCCCUUACGUCUUGGGCAACACACGUACUACAAUGGCUAUCACAGAAAGAUGCGAAUCCGCGAGGAUGAGCGAAACUAUAAAAAGUAGUCCUAGUUCGGAUUGAAGGCUGCAACUCGCCUUCAUGAAGCCGGAAUUGCUAGUAAUCACAGGUCAGCAUACUGUGGUGAAUACGUUCCCGGGUCUUGUACACACCG